Molecule: ribosomal RNA, 229 nt
Filed under: uncultured bacterium
Lineage: Bacteria
Description: partial 16S ribosomal RNA
Rfam family: Bacterial small subunit ribosomal RNA
Source: RNAcentral
UCCGUAGGUGGAUAAUUAAGUCAGAGGUGAAAUCCUGCAGCUCAACUGUAGAAUUGCCCUUGAUACUGGUUAUCUUGAGUCAUUAUGAAGUGGUUAGAAUGUGUAGUGUAGCGGUGAAAUGCAUAGAUAUUACACAGAAUACCGAUUGCGAAGGCAGAUCACUAAUAAUGUACUGACACUGAGGGACGAAAGCGUGGGGAGCGAACAGGAUUAGAUACCCUGGUAGUCC